Molecule: ribosomal RNA, 254 nt
Filed under: uncultured bacterium
Lineage: Bacteria
Description: partial 16S ribosomal RNA
Rfam family: Bacterial small subunit ribosomal RNA
Source: RNAcentral
UACGGGGGGGGCAAGCGUUGUUCGGAAUUACUGGGCGUAAAGGGCUUGUAGGUGGCCAACUAAGUCAGACGUGAAAUCCCUCGGCUUAACCGGGGAACUGCGUCUGAUACUGGAUGGCUUGAGUGUGGGAGAGGGAUGCGGAAUUCCAGGUGUAGCGGUGAAAUGCGUAGAUAUCUGGAGGAACACCGGUGGCGAAGGCGGCAUCCUGGACCAUUACUGACGCUGAGUGAGCGAAAGCCAGGGGAGCAAACGGG